This 75-nucleotide transfer RNA is filed under the name Bacteroides ovatus. RNAcentral describes it as "tRNA-Pro". It matches the Rfam family "tRNA". Rfam says of the family: Transfer RNA (tRNA) molecules are approximately 80 nucleotides in length. RNAcentral also lists the same sequence under 1 other name. The record is from RNAcentral. Lineage: Bacteria; Pseudomonadati; Bacteroidota; Bacteroidia; Bacteroidales; Bacteroidaceae.
CGGGAUGUAGCGCAGUCCGGUUAGCGCACCUGCUUUGGGAGCAGGGGGGCCCAGGUUCGAAUCCUGGUAUCCCGA